UACGGAGGGUGCGAGCGUUGUCCGGAAUCAUUGGGCGUAAAGGGCGCGUAGGCGGCCCUGUCAGUCAGGCGUGAAAGCCCCGGGCUCAACCUGGGAACUGCGCUUGAUACUGCAGGGCUUGAGUUCCGGAGAGGAUGGUGGAAUUCCCAGUGUAGAGGUGAAAUUCGUUGAUAUUGGGAAGAACACCGGUGGCGAAGGCGGCCAUCUGGACGGACACUGACGCUGAGGCGCGAAAGCGUGGGGAGCAAACAGG
This 253-nucleotide ribosomal RNA is filed under the name uncultured bacterium. Its description in RNAcentral is "partial 16S ribosomal RNA". It matches the Rfam family "Bacterial small subunit ribosomal RNA", at positions 524 to 776 of the family's 1533-position model. The record is from RNAcentral.